UCUGCAGAGAUGCGGAAGUGCCUUCGGGAACUGUGAGACAGGUGCUGCAUGGCUGUCGUCAGCUCGUGUUGUGAAAUGUUGGGUUAAGUCCCGCAACGAGCGCAACCCUUAUCCUUUGUUGCCAGCGAUUAGGUCGGGAACUCAAAGGAGACUGCCAGUGAUAAACUGGAGGAAGGUGGGGAUGACGUCAAGUCAUCAUGGCCCUUACGACCAGGGCUACACACGUGCUACAAUGGCGCAUACAAAGAGAAGCGACCUCGC
Molecule: ribosomal RNA, 261 nt
Filed under: Salmonella enterica subsp. enterica serovar Meleagridis
Lineage: Bacteria; Pseudomonadati; Pseudomonadota; Gammaproteobacteria; Enterobacterales; Enterobacteriaceae
Description: partial 16S ribosomal RNA
Rfam family: Bacterial small subunit ribosomal RNA
Source: RNAcentral